ACGAACGCUGGCGGCGUGCCUAAUACAUGCAAGUCGAGCGGAAUGAUGAAGAAGCUUGCUUCUUCUGAUUUUAGCGGCGGACGGGUGAGUAACACGUGGGCAACCUACCUUGUAGAUUGGGAUAACUCCGGGAAACCGGGGCUAAUACCGAAUAAUCCAUUUUGCUUCAUGGCGAGAUGUUGAAAGACGGUUUCGGCUGUCACUACAAGAUGGGCCCGCGGCGCAUUAGCUAGUUGGUAGGGUAAUGGCCUACCAAGGCGACGAUGCGUAGCCGACCUGAGAGGGUGAUCGGCCACACUGGGACUGAGACACGGCCCAGACUCCUACGGGAGGCAGCAGUAGGGAAUCUUCCACAAUGGACGAAAGUCUGAUGGAGCAACGCCGCGUGAGUGAAGAAGGUUUUCGGAUUGUAAAACUCUGUUGUAAGGGAAGAACACGUACGAGAGUAACUGCUCGUACCUUGACGGUACCUUAUUAGAAAGCCACGGCUAACUACGUG
This 499-nucleotide ribosomal RNA is filed under the name uncultured bacterium. RNAcentral describes it as "bacterial SSU rRNA". It matches the Rfam family "Bacterial small subunit ribosomal RNA", at positions 29 to 507 of the family's 1533-position model. The record is from RNAcentral.